RNAcentral lists this ribosomal RNA (553 nucleotides) under Saccharomyces cerevisiae (brewer's yeast). RNAcentral's name for it is "eukaryotic LSU rRNA". It matches the Rfam family "Eukaryotic large subunit ribosomal RNA", at positions 87 to 654 of the family's 3401-position model. Lineage: Eukaryota; Fungi; Ascomycota; Saccharomycetes; Saccharomycetales; Saccharomycetaceae. The record is from RNAcentral.
CGGCGAGUGAAGCGGCAAAAGCUCAAAUUUGAAAUCUGGUACCUUCGGUGCCCGAGUUGUAAUUUGGAGAGGGCAACUUUGGGGCCGUUCCUUGUCUAUGUUCCUUGGAACAGGACGUCAUAGAGGGUGAGAAUCCCGUGUGGCGAGGAGUGCGGUUCUUUGUAAAGUGCCUUCGAAGAGUCGAGUUGUUUGGGAAUGCAGCUCUAAGUGGGUGGUAAAUUCCAUCUAAAGCUAAAUAUUGGCGAGAGACCGAUAGCGAACAAGUACAGUGAUGGAAAGAUGAAAAGAACUUUGAAAAGAGAGUGAAAAAGUACGUGAAAUUGUUGAAAGGGAAGGGCAUUUGAUCAGACAUGGUGUUUUGUGCCCUCUGCUCCUUGUGGGUAGGGGAAUCUCGCAUUUCACUGGGCCAGCAUCAGUUUUGGUGGCAGGAUAAAUCCAUAGGAAUGUAGCUUGCCUCGGUAAGUAUUAUAGCCUGUGGGAAUACUGCCAGCUGGGACUGAGGACUGCGACGUAAGUCAAGGAUGCUGGCAUAAUGGUUAUAUGCCGCCCGUCU